GUGGGGAAUCUUGCGCAAUGGGCGAAAGCCUGACGCAGCCAUGCCGCGUGAAUGAUGAAGGUCUUAGGAUUGUAAAAUUCUUUCACCGGGGACGAUAAUGACGGUACCCGGAGAAGAAGCUCCGGCUAACUUCGUGCCAGCAGCCGCGGUAAUACGAAGGGGGCUAGCGUUGCUCGGAAUUACUGGGCGUAAAGGGCGCGUAGGCGGACAGCUUAGUCAGAGGUGAAAGCCCAGGGCGCAACCUUGGAAUUGCCUUUGAUACUGGCUGUCUUGAGUUUGGGAGAGGUGAGUGGAACUCCGAGUGUAGAGGUGAAAUUCGUAGAUAUUCGGAAGAACACCAGUGGCGAAGGCGACUCACUGGCCCAAUACUGACGCUGAGGCGCGAAAGCGUGGGGAGCAAACAGGAUUAGAAACCCGUGUAGUCC
RNAcentral lists this ribosomal RNA (425 nucleotides) under uncultured bacterium. RNAcentral's name for it is "partial 16S ribosomal RNA". It matches the Rfam family "Bacterial small subunit ribosomal RNA", at positions 354 to 796 of the family's 1533-position model. The record is from RNAcentral.